GCGAAAGUUGAUCAGUUACAAGUGUGGUAUACAAAACUAACGUUUGAUGGAUCCAGUUCAACUAUAUUCCAACAGAAAUCACCAUUAAAGGUUACUAAUGGUGAAAUACGUCUAAGUUUAGAUAUUGAUGAGAUCUGGACAUUAACGACUAUUACUACUGGACAAAAGGGACAACACAAUCACCCACCGCCACCAGCACCGUUCCCGUUACCUUAUACAGAUGACUUCGAAGUAUACCCUAUUUAUUCUGAAGCGUAUAAUUUGGUUGCUCAAGCUGGUUAUUAUGAGAUUACUGAUAUUGGAGCUCCACAAAAUAAAGUUAUCCGCCAGAUGUCGCUUGAGAUGCCAGUUUUUUGGGGUAAAACAGAUAGUCUCGGAGUUACACUGGCUCUGAUCGGGAAUGCUAACUGGACUGAUAUAAAUAUAUCUGUUGAGGCACGUCCAGCUCCAGUAAAUGGAACUAAUGGUGUUUUCGUUGCCUGUAGAUUAUACAAUGUGGGUUUACGAAACAGCAUAAAUGCUGGAUUAUACUUCUUCAUUUUCCCAGCAAAUA
Long non-coding RNA from Patella vulgata (common limpet), 553 nucleotides. RefSeq lists it as uncharacterized. Lineage: Eukaryota; Metazoa; Mollusca; Gastropoda; Patellidae. The transcript is spliced from 4 exons. The record is from RefSeq and is a predicted model, not a curated record.